Molecule: long non-coding RNA, 8662 nt
Filed under: Panax ginseng (ginseng)
Lineage: Eukaryota; Viridiplantae; Streptophyta; Magnoliopsida; Apiales; Araliaceae
Description: long non-coding RNA (PGIN_LNC001498)
Source: RNAcentral
AUCUCGGGGAGUAUAUGGAGGAGGCAAAAUGCAUAGAGCUGAAUCAGAAGGAGCCUUCACCAUGGAUUCUAUCUUGAACUUCUUGUUUAACUCUAGGGGUUCUCUACAAGCCAUUGUCUCCGGGCAAACUUGGACGGCGCCGGGAGGUACUGUUGGUUUAUAAGUCAUGAGCUUUGAAUAUUCAUUCAACAUAUGAAACAUGUAGUCAUAAAUAUUCUUCAUCUUUAACCCCUCUUGUAUGAAUUUGCUCCCCUCUCUUCCAAUUUUUUGAGCCUUCAAGUCACAAAAUUGAGUUAAAAAAGAAAGUACAUAAAUUUCUCUUUCAAGUGUUUUAAGAUUUGGUAGAGCUCAACAGUCUGUCUGUGAUAUUAAUAAUCUGACCAAUACAGUGUCUACAUACAGAUAAAGGAUAAUCUCUUUUUACGUAAUACUGUAUUAGUCAAUUAAUCAAUUUACUAAAAAAUUAAUUUUAUAGUAACUAAAUUCAGUAUUCACCUUUUUUGGGUGGCUAUUUCCCCAGUCAACCGCAAAUUUAAUUGAUUUGCACGUGUCUUUAGUGUUUGUCGGCCAGUAGUGCACCAAAGGUUGUAACCUCUUGUAAAGAAAUCAUAGUACCGAGGAUUAAUGAGAAGAGUCAAAGAAUCGCAGGCUAGAAUAUAUUUUUCACUAACACACCAUGCUUUUCCUUCUACAUAAAUCUUGUAUCUAAACAAAUUAAGGCCAAGAAAAAGAGGUUAAUUAAUAACAAAUAUAUAUAUAUAUAUAAUUAUGUGAUAAAAUGAACAUGAAUUAUAAUGUAGGACUAGAUUCAGAAACUACUGAAUUAAAUUUGGUACCUAUGAGUGCAUUGAUCUGCUAAAUUUGAAUGUUUGAAUCCUUUGUUUGUCUCAUCUAUCCAAUCCUGCAAAAUUGCUAAAGUUUUACCAUAUUUGCAGGUAAAAUGAUAAUUCACCAAUAAAAUAUUUAAGAAUGUGUCAAAUGUAUGUAAAGAUUGCUACAUGUUGUAUUCGGAAUCAAAAUCAAAAUCAAGUGUAAAAGAGUCUGGUUUUGAACUUUCAAAAAACUUCGAAAAAAUAUACUCAUAGAACUUCGAAUCUACACUAUAUCAAUAAUAAUUAACGAGCUCCUCUCAAGUUUGUUAGAUUUAUAAAAUAGAUAUAAAGUCUAGUAUAUAAAUUAACUCAAAACCAAUUAGUAAGAAGAAGAGUUGACCUAAUUUAUUAUAAAUUAGACAUUUUUUUAAGAUAUUCAAUGUGGGAUUGCGGGUAAAAAUCAAGACUAAGAAGAGUGUUUAAGAGUAAUAUUGUUACUAUCACAUAUGCAUGAGUGUAUGUGAACAAUUUUUAUGUGAUAGUAAAUUUAUUGAGUGUUUAAUUAGGCCUAAGAAUAACCGCUCUGAUCAUAUUAGAUUUAUAAAAUGGGUGGGUCCAAAAUCUAGCAGUAUAUGAACACAUCAAGCUCUGUAACUCAAAACUAAUUUAUAUUGAGAAGAGUUGACCCAAGUCAUUAUAAUCUAGACAUAUUUUCUCAACGUAUUCAAUGUGGGGCAAGAUAAUUAUAUACUUUAACAAAGUUUUACACCCUAUAUAUAAAACUUGAGAUGAAAUAAAAGUUGUAAAAUUCUCCCUCUCACGGUACAACUUUUUUUACGCGGAAUAUAAAAGUUUCAAAAACUCUCUCCCUCGUAUAAACAUAAAACUCACUCAUACCUUCUCUCAACUUUUAUGAUCGAAUACUACAUGACUUUUGGUUGUACUACACUUUAAUAACUAAACAUAUAAGAGUACUAUUUAUAAGUACCCACAAUUAUUUUCUUCCUAGUUAUUCAAUAUAGGACACUUUCAAAAUAAUACUUCUAUAAAAAAUAAGAUUCUUUCUCAAAAUAAGACUCCAACAUAUAUUAAAAAUAACAAAUCUUUUCUGAAUAGGAUUCAAGAAUUAUCCCAACAAUUUCUCCCUCUACUCGAAUUCUCGAACACUAAAACUUCAUGUCUGUCCUAAUAAUUAUAUAAUUUUGUCGACACUACCUCAUAACACAUGACCUUCAGAAUCUUUGUAAUAAAUUCUUACAUCUUUUGAUCUCUGCUACAAUUAAAGUAUACCCAAAGAGCAUGCAUGCUCUUUUAGUUAAAAAUGACAAAGGAGAGUAGUUAUAAGUACCAGUCGGUAUAGUCGAGCAUUCCAGUCAUGUUUGUCAGUGACGCUGCAUUUCAUGAGUUCGCGUCUGUUUCGACUGACCCGUGCAUUCCCUUGCCAAUAAGCAUAAGGUUCUCUCUUCCACCAUUUCAUUCUCUUGCUUCCUUCUUUUAACUCAUUUUUCAAACACACCCAUGGCUUUAUAUUGAUCUCCGGCCUAGGAACCAAAAACAAAGCAAACUAAUUAAGAAAUGUAACAUGCUAUAUAUAUAUAUAUAUAUAUAUAUAUUGAGUCUAAUCGGCUAAAAAUUAAUAUAUGUAACGGGACUCAACAUUUAAUUAUGACGUGUUAAUUAAUGAUAUCGUCUGAACUUAUAAAAAAAGAAGAAAGAAUAAAUUAGGUCUAGUUAAAAUUUUAUAAUUAGGUCAUUCUGUUUAAUUAAUUGAACAGAAGUUAACUUAAUACCUACGAGACCGUUUUAACCAAGACAAGAAAAUAAAAUAAGUAACUUGAAAUAAAGACGAAAUAAAAGGGGAAAAAAUAUGAUGAUUUGUCUUCUUGCAUGUCCUUGUUUAUUUGUUCAAGCCAUUUAUUUUAAUCUACCAUGCAUGCAUGCAUGUAGGUAUAUAAUAAAUUAAUCAUACCAGCCCCAGAAUGACCAAUCAGGAAAAACCAAAUCCAAAGUCGAAUCAUCGGCACAAUAAUGAAACACUGGUGGUGGAGUAGAUGCUUUCAUUCCCAUAUAGUCUUUCUUUGGGAACCUUGGCUUGUCACCCAUGUCGAACAUGAAAUCCAGAUCCGGUAAUUUACCCGGAUAAAACUUUAGAAGUUGCAGUAAUCCCCAUACGGUAAAAACAUCUCUUGUUUGAUAAACAUAUGAAUACUGCUCUAGGUAAAGUUUUCCAUCUAAUAUCACUAUUCUCCUAUUUGCUUUGGGAAUUCCACUCUCCACAAUUUCUUUGGUUAUGCCUGUCUUUUGCCAUGUCCUUAAGUCCUCGUGAAUCCAUCGGAAAUAUUCAGGACAUUCCCCGGCCGAUGAGUUAUUGGUGUUGAUUAUUUUUGGAUAAUUUGUUGGGCAUGUUUGUGUAGUGUUUUCGGAAUAAGAGCAAUUGAGCUCAUAUUUAAAUUUUGCCUCUGUUGUUGUGGAAUUUCUAGAUGUUAAAAAUGACUUCUGAAACGAAGCCCCUGUGAAAAAGUACUGAAAAAAUAAAACUAGUUAAAGAGGAAUUGUUAUGACAAAUACUAUAAAUCAAUUCAGAAAGAUAAAAGACAAUAAUAUAACGUUUUACGUGAAAAUUUAAAUUAAAAAAAAAAAACAUCGAGAAAAGCAUAAGGAAUCUAAUACAAAGUUUUACCUGAAAACCCAAAUUAAAAAAAAAAUCACAGAGAAAGACAGAAGAAAUCCACUUAAUAAAAAUUUAAAGAAUACGAGAUAACUAUGAUAAUUAUUAGAAUAUUUCUGAAUUAUUAAAAUUUUCUUCUAAAGUUGGAAAGAUUUUGAAGAAAAUUUUCCAAACACGUAGAUUACAAAUUAAAAUACCAAAAUUACCCUUAUAAUAAUUUCUAAAAUGUAAUCUCAUAAGGUUAAAAUAAUAAUAUAUUAUUUUAAGUUAAAAUUUUCUUUUAAAACUCACAAACACAAAAAGAAAAAGCUUCAAUUCCGACGAAAUAUUCCAUCGGAAUGUCUGUUAGAUUUUAGUCUGUCGAAAAUUCGAUUGAAAAUACAUANNNNNNNNNNNNNNNNNNNNNNNNNNNNNNNNNNNNNNNNNNNNNNNNNNNNNNNNNNNNNNNNNNNNNNNNNNNNNNNNNNNNNNNNNNNNNNNNNNNNUAUAUAUAUAUAUAACUAGCUACCUUCCAAUUUCCAAAUUAACAAGGGGAUCCUAAUUUUCUGUUUCUUAUUUAAUUUCACUAUAUAUGUCCAAAUUACUUGGAACAAAAUAAUUAAGUGCAUGAUGAAAGAAAGAAAAACUUACGUGGUCUAGCCAGCGGGUGGCGAAAAGGGAUCCGAUGAACAUAAAUAUAAAAAAUAUGGUGGCAGUUGUUAAAGCUGCUCCUCCUUCCUUCAUAAUUAUCUGCCCAAUGGUUUUUGAAUAAUAUGAUUCAGCUUCAUAUAUCCAACCCACUCUUACUCUUAUUUGAUGCACCAUCAUAUUAUAUAUAUUUAAUGCAUGUUUGGCUUGUCUAAACUUGAAGAGAGAGGGGCUAGUUUGUUGAGAAUAAUUUCAGAAUUAUAUAUCCAAAUAAUUAAAUAAUUAUAUAUGAAGAAUGAUUCAUAUACUAUCAUCCAAUAUAAAAGUUAACGACUGAUAUUAGAAUUGAAAAUUAAUUUAAAUUUCGUAUUGGUACUAAAAAAUAGACAAACAUCGUCUCUAUCGUAUUGAUAUUAUAAUUCAAUUUUCGUAUUGAUACUAAAAAAUGACUUUAAAAUUAAUUUAAAUAUUUGGAAUUAAUAGAGAAAGUACUUUGUUUUAUUUUUUAAAAAUAUUUAUAUAUAUAUUAUAAAUCUUGGAGGACCUAAAAUAAAAAUAUCAAAAUUUAUAAGUUCAAAAAAUAUGCAGUCGUAUAAAAAAAAUGAGUGAAUGAUAUUGCACAUGAAUGUGUUUAUAUAAAAAUAUUUAUAUACUCUAGUGAAUAAAUAUUAAACGAUGACUACUACAUUAGAUAAAAAAAAGUAUUUCAUCCGUUUCAAAAUAAAAUAUUAUUAUUAACUUCAUAAAGUUAAUUUAAAAUAUUUUUAAACUCAUAAUUGACAUGAAUUUCUUUGAUUUUAAUUUAUACAAUGAUGAAUAUUGAAAAAUAUCAAAAAAAUAAUACUCCUUGUAACAUUUAUUAUUUCAUAAUUUUUAAUCAUCUCAAUUUUAAAUUUAAAAAUAUCUCACAGACUUCAAAAAUCUAUAAUAAUUUUAAAAUUUGGAAUGGAGCAAGUACAAUAUUUAUUGACGAUAUUUUUGUCCGUAGAUUUAAAUUUUUUGUUAAGAGACGAUUCUAGUUUGGAUUUAUAUAUUCCAUUUAAAGAGACGUACCAUAAAAGGCAAACAAAAUUUUACUAAACAACUUUAUCCUCUUAGCAAAUCAGAUGUGGAGCUGUUAAGAUAUAUUAAUUAGAGAUAAAUAAACACCACCUAAGGAAUACAUAACUAACUGGUUUGAUAGUAUUUUAAUGAUUGUUAAUUAUAUUUGUCAAUAAUCAUAUGGGUGAAUCGUUCAACUAAAAUUAAUAUAAUGAAUUUUUAGUAGAAUAUCAAUAUUAGAAAGAAAAAAUAUAUAUACCCAGUAAUCUUGAACUCAUGUCAAACAAUUACAGUAACAAUUAUCUGUAUAUAAGAAGUUAAGUUACUAACAAUAUUAAUUUAAGCCUUAUUUAAAUAAAUUUAAUUUAAUUCAAAUUUAAAAUUUGACUCAAAAUUUAUUUCGCAAUCCAGAUUUUAUCAAAGUUGUUUCAACUUACAACACAUUUUGUUUGUUUUCUUGAUGAUAUUCAUAGUUUCAAACAUGUCUAGAAGAUAACAACAUGAUUGAUUGUUUGUUAUGUUUUCUUUUUCUUUUUAUGGGGAAACCGGUUAAUUGGUUAUAUAUUAUUACUAUACCACCUACCAAAUUAUUUCGUGUUAAUUAAAAAUCUAACUGACUAAUCAUAAUUAACCCUUCUACAUCACGAGUUGCAUGCAACAUAUGUACGUCUCUUUAAAAUUAUGCUACUAAUUAAAUUACUCUAAUUAAGAUAAUAAUAAUAAUUUUUCAUAUGAACUUACAAGACAUUUUGUUUGUUUUUCUUGAUGAUAUUCAAAGUUUCAAACACGUCUAGGUGAUUGAUUGUUUUUUUCUUUUUUUUGGGGUAACCGAUUAAAUGGUUAUAGUGUUACUAUCUCACCUACCAAAUUAUUUUGUGUGAAUUAAAUAUCUAACUCACUAAUCAUAAUCAACCCUUCUAAACUCUGAUAAUUACUCUUUCCCGCUUCCCAUUUUCCUUCCUAAACUUUUUUAUUCUCUCUCUAUUCCAAAAUACAAUAUCAAUAUUAAUUUUUCUAAGUCAAUUUUGAUAUUUUUAAUUUUUGAAAAUAAUAAAUUAAAUAUUUGAUAGCAAACUUUUUAGAUGAGCCCGAUAUCUCAUCCCUUAAUGGUUCUCUCAUCGUUCCUUAAUAUAAGUCGUUUUAGAAAAUUGUUUUUGUUCCUUAAUAUAAGUCGUUUGAGAAUUUCAAGUAAACAUUAAUUGCUUAGUUUUCAAUAUUACCCCAAAUAAUAAAUAUAACUUUAGUUCUCUCACUAUUAACUUUGAUUCUUUCACUAUUGAGUCUACUGACUAUUGACUACAAUUAUAAUUUUUAAGCCUCUUUUUUUAUUUCGGUUAAUUACCGAAUAACAAAAAAACAAAAAUAAAACCCGAAACCAAAAAUUGGAUAUAACCGAAUUACUAAAAUUAACCGAAUAACCAAAAAAAUUCGGUUAAAAUAAUUCGGUUCGGUUAUUCGGUUUUAUCCGUAUUUUGUUCAGCCCUACAAUAAAUAACACUAUUUUUUCAAUACAAGAGUAAUAUAGACAAUUGAUAUUAUAUUUAAUAUUAUACAAUUAUUUUUGUAAUACUUGUACACAACUCUAAAAUUACUUAUAUCAAAGAAUAGAGGGAGUACUAUCGAGUAUAUUUCAUUUUAGUAUUAUGCCUCUAGUUGUUGAGCAUGAUAUUAUUCAAUAAAAUUCUGUCUUUUGACUGUUUUCUUGGAAAAAAAUUAUUAUCAUAAUCAUCAUCAUAACUAUUAUUAUAAAGACAAAUUUAACAUAUAAUUGAAAGGGCAGAUGACUCAUCUAUAAAAUUAAGGUUAAAUGGUUAAAUAUAUAUCCUCACAACUUAAUAUAAUAAAUCAAUAAUAUAAAAUUCAACACCAAAUCAAUUUAAAUCUUGCCAAGGAUUUAAUACUUAUACAACCGAGAAGAAUAAAAAUCUUGGAGUGGGGCCCUUACCAUUUAAGCCCAGAAAAAGAAACUUUUAUAUUAUAUGAACCCAAAAUACUACAUGCAAAAUUUAAAAUAUGUUCAUGCAUGGGACAACCCGGACAAGUAUGUCUCUCAUUCAUAUUUUUCCUGGUCUAUAUUAUGCGAGUUAUAAAUUUAUAAUAGUCUUAAUUAAAGAAUUUGUUUCUUAGGGGCAGAUGAGCUUUUGUAGAGCUACAAUAAUUACAAGUUUAGCUAGCGGCAUACUUGUAAUAGGAGAUACCGGAUUCGAUUAGCAUAAAAUUUAUUUUGUAGUAAGUUGAUCAAUUGGCCAAUAAAAUAUUGACACACACUGUGUGUCAGUACUUUAUUAGUCAAUUGACCAACUUACUUCAAAAUAAACUCCAUACUAACCGGUUCCGGAGAUACCAGAAUGACUUGACUUUGGGGUGAUUUCUCCGUCGAUAAAACUUUAUCCUUGGUCACUAUAUAGUCCAAUAGCAAAUUCAUAAGUUUUACUCGCAAUCAAAUUUUAAAAAAAGUAUCUUAUUUUACUGUGUAAAGUUACAGGUUCGAGUCUAUCCAUCACUAAUAAGUCAAAACUCAACAAAUACUUGUAAAUUUCCCUUAAGUUCCCGCCUAAUUCCAUUCCCAACUCAAAAUACAUAAAUCGUAAUCUUAUUGUAUUAUAAAACUUUCUUACGUCACGUCGCAAAUUUAACAAUUAAAUAACAUAUUUUUUUAUUUAUAAAAGGAAAGACAAACUACAAAAUACAGAUUAUAUAUAUCUAUGAAAGGUGAUUUCAUCAACUCUCUCAAUAAUGAAAAUAAGAACACCUAAACAAAAAUGUCAUAUCUUCAUUUAAAAAUUCACUUCUUUAGCUUUCCCACUUUUUUCCCACGUCUCCACUUCCUUUAUUAUUCUUGCUUUCUUAUCUCUUAAAGCAUGAAGAUCUCGGGGAGUAUAUGGAGGAGGCAAAAUGCAUAGAGCUGAAUCAGAAGGAGCCUUCACCAUGGAUUCUAUCUUGAACUUCUUGUUUAACUCUAGGGGUUCUCUACAAGCCAUUGUCUCCGGGCAAACUUGGACGGCGCCGGGAGGUACUGUUGGUUUAUAAGUCAUGAGCUUUGAAUAUUCAUUCAACAUAUGAAACAUGUAGUCAUAAAUAUUCUUCAUCUUUAACCCCUCUUGUAUGAAUUUGCUCCCCGCUCUUCCAAUGUUUUGAGCCUUCAAGUCACAAAAUUGAGUUAAAAAAGAUAGUACAUAAAUUUCUCUUUCAAGUGUUUGUCAUAGCUCAACAGUCUGACCGUGAUAUUAAUAAAUCCGGGCCAGAUCUUAAUCUCAUCCCAUAUCUAAUUCACCCGAGCUCACCCUCCCUUUAGCGACGGUCCCGACGACGGUUCAGUUAUACAACUGUCGUCUAUACUUUUAGCGACGGACAACAUAUAGCGUCGCUAAAAGCAUAGACGACGAUUGUAUGACCGAUGUUCGGUCCAUCACUAAAAGGGGGUGAGCUCGGGUGAGUUGAAUAAGGGGUGAGUUUAAGAUGCGGAUUCUAAUCUGACCAUAUUUUAUAUGAAAUGAUUAACAUGAAGUUAAUU